This is a non-coding RNA of Mus caroli (Ryukyu mouse), 2554 nucleotides long. NCBI's taxonomy places the organism in Eukaryota, Metazoa, Chordata, Mammalia, Rodentia, Muridae. The record is from RefSeq and is a predicted model, not a curated record.
CGCACGCUCUCAAGGCUGGCCGUGUGCACGUGCGUUCGAGCACGGGCGUGAGAGCUUUCUCCAGAGAGGUGGCACUGCAGUCCUGCCAGCACAGCCGCGUGGCUCUCUUUCCGGAGGUGUCGUCUCCUUCCCGGGCCCACUCACGCACCACCUUCCUCUGCUCGUGCUCGUUCGCGAGCUAGCUGGCUCACGGGCACCCGCACCAUGCAGCGUAGCGCUGGCGCCUUGCACGUGAGGUUUACCAUCUGCGGAUGCUUCCGAGAGUACCCGAGGCUGAACCUUGUCGCGUUUUGUUGCCCUUAGACUGGGAAAGCAGAUUCAAAUUAACGGAACUCUCCAACACCCAAAGGGGGAACUGACCUGAAGUAUUGUUUGUAACAAAUGCUUCUCACUAAAUAGAAAAGCAAAUUUCUCAUAAUUCUACUCCAAAAGGGUGAAGCACAUGUUUUUGAUAGGUAUACAACUGUGAAAAAUAACUUAGCUUUCUUUUAAACAAAGGUAACUGUGGAACUUUCAAUAUGCUUGGUCCAGGGAACGGCACUAUUAGAUGUUGUCCUGUUAGAGGAAAUGUGUCACUGUUGGGGUGGGCUUUGAGACCCCUCUCCUUGCUGCCUGAAAUACAGUCUGCUCCUUACUUCUUUUGGAUGAAGAUGUCGAACUCUCAGCUCCUCCAAUGUCAUGCCUGCCUGGAUGCAGCCAUCCUUCCUGUCAUGAUGAUAAUGGACUGAAUCACAGAACCUGUAAGCCUGCAUCAAGUCUGAAGGAUUAGGCACAUCCUCUCCCACUGAGGCUAGAUGUGGCAGCCCUCUGCUACAUAUGUGUCAGGGGCCUUGAACCAGCCCCUGUAUGAUUUUUGGUUGGUGGAUCAGUCUCUAGAAGUUCCCAGAGGGCCAGGUUAUUUGCUUUGUGGAUGAGUUUUCCAAAACUGACAGGGAAUGGAAUGACUGAAUCCAAUUUAAUAUGGACAGGAGGGCCCCCAGGGUUUUUCCCAAUAGAAAAUAUUACCUUGCCUAUCUUUUGUUCAUGUGCAUUCAUUAGUCCAAUGUAGGCCUUUGCCAUACCUUCUGCAUACUCCAGAAAGCUGGGGCCUUCUUUUUGGAUAAUCUCUAGAAAAAAAAAAAACAAUAUUUCUAGAAAUGCCUUGCAUAUAAUCUGUUUUCAUAUGAACUUGAACUUGCUUAUCACAAUUAAAACAUCUGAUGUUUUUGUUUUCUUCAAACUUUUAGAAAUUAUUUCUCCUAUCAAAGUAGCAUCAUAAACAUGAGACCCAAUAUUGCUAUAUUUCCAAUCCAUUCAUCUAUUGAUUCUGAUGUUGCCUUGAAAGGCCUAAUCGUCCCUUUGCAUUCUGAAUUAGCAUUUUCAAAAGCCAAAGAUCUCAUUAAUAUUUGUCUGACUUCUGAAUCUGAUACUCUUUUAUUUACAGCUGAAGUCAACCUUUGCAAAAAAAAAAAAAAUAGUGAAGGCUGGUUUUGGGCCUUGCAUAAUUUCAGUAAAUGAUACAGCCCUCUUUCCUGGUUCUUCAACAUAAACAGAAACCCUAAAAUAAUGUCCUUUCUGGUAUCAUUUUGGAAGUCACCAAGGACCAUUUCAUUCUGAUAUAAUUUUCUUUUCUUUACUAUAUCCCUGACUUAAUGUUCUAUUUUCCAAUUUUUGUGCAACUUUUUACAUUAAGUUUUAGAAUUCUAAAUUUUUCCAACAGCCCUUUCUGGUUAUUUCAUAAAUGUAGUAUGCUGUCCAAUGUUUCUGAGAAUAUCUGAGAUUCUUUGGCAGCUUUAUGUUCAGCUUUCAUGUUGGAGUUUCCUCAAAUGUUUAGCGAUUCUUAGUUGUCAGUGUAUAUUGAGUUCAAGUGACUAUAAGUUAUGUCAUCAUGAGCAGGGUUUGUAGUCUUUGGGUUUCACUGUGGCAAAUAGUUAAAUGUCAAAUUAUUGUUCAUCUUUUCUGGAUGGGUUGGGCAUGUCUGGAUAUACAUGCCCAUAACAGCUAGGUAAAGAAUGCAUGCAGGUUCACAGUGUUCUUAAUACUGGCAUUCUCAGUUUUCUUGUCCUCAACAUAGCUUUGGUCCUGUCUUUCAGUUCUCAGUUUUGUUUAGCUCAGUUUCUCCAGAAAAAUAAGCCUUCUGUAAUGUUUGCUUGUUUGUUUGUUUGUUUGGUUGGUUGGUUUUUUGUUUUUCAAGACAGGGUUUCUCUGUGUAGCCCUGGCUGUCCUGGAACUCACUCUGUAGACCAGGCUGGCUGUGAACUCAGAAAUCCGCAAGCCUCUGCCUCCCAAGUGCUGGGAUUAAAGGCAUGCGCCACCACUUUUGUUCCUCAUGCCUACUUUCAGUUGUCCCUUUAGCCUUUGAAUGGUGUAGGAAGCAGCACUUGUCUUCUACAUUUGUAGACUUUUUCUUUUUCUAAACAUUUAUCUUUGCUAUUUUUAAAUUGUAUGUAUUUGUGUCUGUGUAUGUGCACAAGAAGACACUGGAUCCCUAGGAGACAGAGUUUACAGGAGGAUGUUAGCCACCAGACAUGGGUGAGAAACCAGACAAAGGUUGUCUAUAAGAGUGCUCUUAGCC